This 754-nucleotide long non-coding RNA is filed under the name Parus major (Great Tit). Its description in RNAcentral is "lncRNA (ENSPMJG00000018208.1)". The record is from RNAcentral. Lineage: Eukaryota; Metazoa; Chordata; Aves; Passeriformes; Paridae.
AGAUACUGUCCCAAAACUGGCUUCUCUUUUUUUAACCUACAAAAUUGAAUUGAACUGCAAUUGAAUUGAUCUCAGAAUUAAAAAGAUAAAUUUGAAACUGUUCAGUAGACCUGCAGCCCAGUGUGAGAGAGAAGUAUUUUAAUAUUCAUAAGGAAACACUGAAAGCAGAGUCUACAAAUUUCAAAGUCUUUCUCUUUUCAUCCAACAGUGAUCCUUAUGCUCACUGAAUCUGAAGGAAUAGAGUGGGUUCUCCUAAGGCUUUCAGAGCAAUGAGCACGGUGCUGUUCUGACAUUAAAUGAGCCAUCCCACAAUUUAACGGAUUCAUAAGGAAUUCUCACGGGAGAGGAUCUGAGAGCUAUGGGAUGAUGAGCACUUAAAGACGCUGGGAGAUGCGCUCACUCAUGCAGCCUCACCAGAUGGUGAAAAGGUUUCUACCCCUGAAAGGCCCACAAAACUAUUGAAAGAAGACUUUUGAAGAGAGGCUUGAGCAUGUGCUGAGAGUUUCCUGCACCAAGGCUUCCAUCGAAAAUACACAGGGAUGGACUCAAUGUUUGCUGCAGCUUCCUGGCUGGACAGAUACAGUAUCAGUCAUCGUGGAAGGAUGUUCCAGCCACAGUCACUCCCUGCUCCUGUUUAAUAACCUCUCAAGAUCAAUUUCCUCACAUCAGCAUUUUCAAAAACCAUGUCAAAAAUUCUCCUCGCAAACUCAUGUAUUUGCUUAAAAUUAAUAAAUAUAUGUGUAGAAAAUAAAAA